RNAcentral lists this non-coding RNA (30 nucleotides) under Mus musculus (house mouse). Lineage: Eukaryota; Metazoa; Chordata; Mammalia; Rodentia; Muridae. The record is from RNAcentral.
UAAAUGCAUACUCAACUCUACAAUCUUCUC